Long non-coding RNA from Malania oleifera, 1106 nucleotides. RefSeq lists it as uncharacterized. The record is from RefSeq and is a predicted model, not a curated record. Lineage: Eukaryota; Viridiplantae; Streptophyta; Magnoliopsida; Santalales; Ximeniaceae. The transcript is spliced from 2 exons.
UUUGUGGACCCAUGACUGAAUUUAUUUGCGUAGAGAAAGAAAAGGGUUUAUGGGGGAGGGGUGUAGAGCCCAGCAGCAGCUGCUGCCUUGGCAGAAGGCCCCCACCCCCUGCUGCUUCUUGUACUUCCUUCUUCUUCCUCUUCUUCGUUUUCUCCUUCUUCACUGUGUUAUAUAUAUAAUGUAGAGUUUUUUUUUUUUUUUUUUUUUUUUGGGGGGGGUGGGUGGGUGGUGGGGGUCGUCUGAACCAGGGGAGAGAUUUUGCGAAAAAAACCAGCGCCUGUUAGGGGGCUUUCGUACGAACACCGGUGAAAUCCAUGGUCGCCGGCAGCUUGAGCUCUAACCCACAUCUUCACCCGCAUUUAGUUCUCUAUUUUUAUUUUUGUCUUGGCCAAAAUCAUUCUGAAGAACCUGAAACGAGAGGCCUGGGGGGGGGGGGGGAUCAACUCUUGCAAAGUCCGAUGGUCUGAAAUUCUAGGAGAAAGGAGAACAUGGGUGCUGCCCUUUGGCGACCCCCAUUGACGCCGGAAACGCAACCUUGAAGGGCCACCACCCAUUGUAGCGGAAUCUUCAGUGGCAGCAGUGGAGCUCAUCUCCAUCAUUUCCGUUGACCAUGGAUCUCUGACAGGCUGCCUGGUUCCCUAUCUGGUCAUAACUCAGCUGUGGCCUGUCGUGUGAUCAUUCUCCACCGCUCCACUGCGGCACGAGCUAGUGUUGGAUCAUUCGCGAUGGUGAUUGCCAUUGGGGCUGUCGGAUCCACGCAAGCGAGGUUCACAUGUGGUGCUCAAGACAUGGUUGCUGUUCGGCAACUUGGGUCAGACGUGGGAGAUCCACUUUGGUGUGCAUCCUUCUCAGCUCCCAGGAUAUCUUGUUUAUUUGGUUCAGUAUCAGAGAGACGCAUGGUUGCACAAACCUUAUUAUUUCAGUUUUUGGGAAAUUGUUAUCAGAGAAUUUGUUUCCAUAAUCAAAAGAAAUAACGGGCCAAGAAACUUUGUUGUAGGCAUAGAGCAAGUACUUGUUUCAGAGAUCUUCAAAACCUGUUUAUAUUGUACAUUCAUGUGUGUUGUCCUUUUUUCCGUAAUAUAUGUUCUUGAAUUGGUUAUAUUGCA